GCAGUCGACGAUGAACCACUUCGGUGGGGAUUAGUGGCGAACGGGUGAGUAACACGUGGGCAAUCUGCCCUGCACUCUGGGACAAGCCCUGGAAACGGGGUCUAAUACCGGAUAUUGACCUUCACGGGCAUCUGUGAGGUUCGAAAGCUCCGGCGGUGCAGGAUGAGCCCGCGGCCUAUCAGCUUGUUGGUGAGGUAAUGGCUCACCAAGGCGACGACGGGUAGCCGGCCUGAGAGGGCGACCGGCCACACUGGGACUGAGACACGGCCCAGACUCCUACGGGAGGCAGCAGUGGGGAAUAUUGCACAAUGGGCGAAAGCCUGAUGCAGCGACGCCGCGUGAGGGAUGACGGCCUUCGGGUUGUAAACCUCUUUCAGCAGGGAAGAAGCGAAAGUGACGGUACCUGCAGAAGAAGCGCCGGCUAACUACGUGCCAGCAGCCGCGGUAAUACGUAGGGCGCAAGCGUUGUCCGGAAUUAUUGGGCGUAAAGAGCUCGUAGGCGGCUUGUCACGUCGGUUGUGAAAGCCCGGGGCUUAACCCCGGGUCUGCAGUCGAUACGGGCAGGCUAGAGUUCGGUAGGGGAGAUCGGAAUUCCUGGUGUAGCGGUGAAAUGCGCAGAUAUCAGGAGGAACACCGGUGGCGAAGGCGGAUCUCUGGGCCGAUACUGACGCUGAGGAGCGAAAGCGUGGGGAGCGAACAGGAUUAG
RNAcentral lists this ribosomal RNA (706 nucleotides) under Streptomyces sp. KLBMP 03588. RNAcentral's name for it is "bacterial SSU rRNA". It matches the Rfam family "Bacterial small subunit ribosomal RNA", at positions 57 to 781 of the family's 1533-position model. Lineage: Bacteria; Bacillati; Actinomycetota; Actinomycetes; Kitasatosporales; Streptomycetaceae. The record is from RNAcentral.